RNAcentral lists this ribosomal RNA (253 nucleotides) under uncultured prokaryote. RNAcentral's name for it is "partial 16S ribosomal RNA". It matches the Rfam family "Bacterial small subunit ribosomal RNA", at positions 525 to 777 of the family's 1533-position model. The record is from RNAcentral.
ACGAAGGGUGCAAGCGUUACUCGGAAUUACUGGGCGUAAAGCGUGCGUAGGUGGUUUGUUAAGUCUGAUGUGAAAGCCCUGGGCUCAACCUGGGAAUGGCGAUGGAUACUGGCGAGCUAGAGUACGGUAGAGGAGAGUGGAAUUCCCGGUGUAGCAGUGAAAUGCGUAGAGAUCGGGAGGAACAUCAGUUGCGAAGGCGGCUCUCUGGACCAGUACUGACGCUGAGGCACGAAAGCGUGGGGAGCAAACAGGA